AGAAUUUCUGUGAAGAGGAGAGUACUAUAGUUGAUUCUUAAAGCGAGUAAGGGAUGGUGUAAGCCUUAUGAGAUAUAUUAUAGGAAAAGAGCCUUGGAGAAAUCACCUGAAAUUUUAAAAAAGUAGGGAUGAUCGCAACAACUUGCGUUAAAAGUUAAGUGGUAUUUUUGUAGUAUAAAUAUAUUAUAAAAAUACAAUUAGAGUGGUACCGCGGAUAAUUCGUCUCUUAA
This 230-nucleotide non-coding RNA is filed under the name Clostridium taeniosporum. Its description in RNAcentral is "T-box sequence". It matches the Rfam family "T-box leader". From Rfam's summary of the family: Uncharged tRNA acts as the effector for transcription antitermination of genes in the T-box leader family. T-boxes are found upstream of many aminoacyl-tRNA synthetase genes and some amino acid biosynthetic genes usually in Gram-positive bacteria. The record is from RNAcentral. Lineage: Bacteria; Bacillati; Bacillota; Clostridia; Eubacteriales; Clostridiaceae.